RNAcentral lists this ribosomal RNA (448 nucleotides) under uncultured bacterium. RNAcentral describes it as "bacterial SSU rRNA". It matches the Rfam family "Bacterial small subunit ribosomal RNA", at positions 329 to 792 of the family's 1533-position model. The record is from RNAcentral.
CGCCAGACUCCUACGGGAGGCAGCAGUGGGGAAUAUUGGGCAAUGGGCGCAAGCCUGACCCAGCAACGCCGCGUGAAGGAAGAAGGCUUUCGGGUUGUAAACUUCUUUUGUCAGGGAAGAGUAGAAGACGGUACCUGACGAAUAAGCCACGGCUAACUACGUGCCAGCAGCCGCGGUAAUACGUAGGUGGCAAGCGUUGUCCGGAUUUACUGGGUGUAAAGGGGGCGCAGACGGCGAUGCAAGCCAGGAGUGAAAGCCCGGGGCCCAACCCCGGGACUGCUCUUGGAACUGCGUGGCUGGAGUGCAGGAGGGGCAGGCGGAAAUCCUGGUGUAGCGGUGAAAUGCGUAGAUAUCAGGAGGAACACCGGUGGCGAAGGCGGCCUGCUGGACUGCAACUGACGUUGAGGCCCGAAAGCGUGGGGAGCAAACAGGAUUAGAUACCCCAGUA